CCUACGGGAGGCAGCAGUGGGGAAUAUUGCACAAUGGGGGAAACCCUGAUGCAGCGACGCCGCGUGAGUGAAAAAGUAUUUCGGUAUGUAAAGCUCUAUCAGCAGGGAAGAAAAUGACGGUACCUGAUUAUGAAGCCCCGGCUAACUACGUGCCAGCAGCCGCGGUAAUACGGAGGGGGCACGCGUUAUCCGGAUUUACUGGGUGUAAAGGGAGCGUAGACGGCAGCGCAAGUCUGAAGUGAAAUGCCGGGGCUUAACCCCGGAACUGCGUUGGACACUGUGCAGCUAGAGUGCAGAUGAGUUAAGAGGAAUUCGUGGUGUAGCGGUGAAAUGCGUAGAUAUUAGAAGGAACACCAGCGGCGAAGGCGGCUUACGGGACUGUAACUGACGUUGAGGCUCGAAAGCGUGGGGAGCAAACAGGAUUAGAUACCCGAGUAGUC
RNAcentral lists this ribosomal RNA (440 nucleotides) under uncultured bacterium. RNAcentral describes it as "partial 16S ribosomal RNA". It matches the Rfam family "Bacterial small subunit ribosomal RNA", at positions 338 to 795 of the family's 1533-position model. The record is from RNAcentral.